Molecule: ribosomal RNA, 507 nt
Filed under: Triticum aestivum (bread wheat)
Lineage: Eukaryota; Viridiplantae; Streptophyta; Magnoliopsida; Poales; Poaceae
Description: partial small subunit ribosomal RNA
Source: RNAcentral
AUGCGCGCGGUGCUGUCCAUGCUCGUGACGGACAACACCGUGCGCGCCGUGAUAGGCGACCGCUGCAAGGAGCGCGACACGUUCCUCCGGGAGGUCGACCGCAUCGCGCAGCUCGCGUCGGGGUUCAACCUGGCCGACAUGUGGCCAUCGUCACAGCUCGCCGCGUGGUUCAGUGGAGCCGAGGAGUGCCGCCACACCCUGUACGACAUCCUCGACGGCAUCGUUGAGGAGCAGCUGGAGAGGAUGGACGGCGGCGGAGGCCACGCCGAGGACCUGCUCGACGUGCUGCUCAAGGUCCAGAAGGAGGGUGGACUCAAGUUUCCCAUCCACAUGGACACCGUCAAAGCCAUCAGCUUGGACGUGUUCUCCGCGGGUAGUGAAACAACAACUACGACAAUUGAGUGGGCCAUAUCAGAGUUGAUCAACAACCCGAUGGCCAUGCAGAAGGCGACAGCUGAGGUGCGACAAGUCUUCCAUGCCCAUGGCACCGUGGUCAAGCACGCCCUA